UUCAGUAGCUAAAAAGGGUCAGAUCUGAUUAUUACUUGGAUGAGAAAUCAUCUGAGAAUACCAGGUGCUAUUAUAA
Molecule: ribosomal RNA, 76 nt
Filed under: Salvator merianae (Argentine black and white tegu)
Lineage: Eukaryota; Metazoa; Chordata; Lepidosauria; Squamata; Teiidae
Source: RNAcentral